Molecule: ribosomal RNA, 301 nt
Filed under: uncultured bacterium
Lineage: Bacteria
Description: partial 16S ribosomal RNA
Rfam family: Bacterial small subunit ribosomal RNA
Source: RNAcentral
CAGCAGCCGCGGUAAUACGUAGGGUGCAAGCGUUAAUCGGAAUUACUGGGCGUAAAGCGUGCGCAGGCGGUUAUAUAAGUCAGAUGUGAAAUCCCCGGGCCCAACCUGGGAAUGGCGAUGGAUACUGGUUGGCUAGAGUGUGUCAGAGGGGGGUAGAAUUCCACGUGUAGCAGUGAAAUGCGUAGAUAUGUGGAGGAAUACCGAUGGCGAAGGCAGCCCCCUGGGAUAACACUGACGCUCAUGCACGAAAGCGUGGGGAGCAAACAGGAUUAGAUACCCCAGUAGUCCCUGUCUCUUAUAC